RNAcentral lists this ribosomal RNA (292 nucleotides) under uncultured bacterium. RNAcentral describes it as "partial 16S ribosomal RNA". The record is from RNAcentral.
GGACUACCGGGGUAUCUAAUCCUGUUUGCUCCCCACGCUUUCGCACCUCAGCGUCAGUAUCGGCCCAGGUCUCCGCCUUCGCCACUGGUGUUCCUCCCGAUAUCUACGAAUUUCACCUCUACACCGGGAAUUCCGAGACCCUCUUCCGUACUCAAGCCGGCCAGUUUCGGAUGCCCUUCUCGGGUUAAGCCCGAGGCUUUCACAUCCGACAUAGCCGACCGCCUACGUGCGCUUUACGCCCAAUGAUUCCGAGCAACGUUUGCACCCUCCGUAUUACCGCGGCUGCUGGCAC